Molecule: ribosomal RNA, 650 nt
Filed under: Drosophila lacicola
Lineage: Eukaryota; Metazoa; Arthropoda; Insecta; Diptera; Drosophilidae
Description: eukaryotic LSU rRNA
Rfam family: Eukaryotic large subunit ribosomal RNA
Source: RNAcentral
UAUGGCAAAUGUGAGAUGCAGUGUACGGAACAUCAAUAUUCUAGUAUGAGAAGUUAACGAUUUAAGUCCUUCUUAAAUGAGGCCAUUUACCCAUAGAGGGUGCCAGGCCCGUAUAACGUUAAUGAUUACUAGAUGGUGUUUCCAAAGAGUCGUGUUGCUUGAUAGUGCAGCACUAAGUGGGUGGUAAACUCCAUCUAAAACUAAAUAUAACCAUGAGACCGAUAGUAAACAAGUACCGUGAGGGAAAGUUGAAAAGAACUCUGAAUAGAGAGUUAAAUAGUACGUGAAACUGCUUAGAGGUUAAGCCCGAUGAACCUGAAUAUCCGUUAUGGAAAAUUCAUCAUUAGAAUUGUAAUAUUUUAAACAAUAUUAUAAUAAUAGUGUGCAUUUUUUCCAUAUAAGGACAUUGUAAUCUAUUAGCAUAAAUAUUUAUCAUAAAAUUAUGUCUGAUUGAUUAUUUGAAUUAUAUGCUUGCAUUUUAACAUAAAAUAAAUGACAUAAAUUUGAUAAAGUGCUGAUAGAUUUAUAUGAUUACAGUGCGUUAAUUUUUCGGAAUUAUAUAAUGGCAUAAUUAUCAUUGAUAUUUGUGUUUAUUAUAUGCACUUGUAUGAUUAACAAUGCGAAAGAUUCAGGAUACCUUCGGGACCCGU